GUGUACUCAAUUGAAGUCAUAUAUACUCUCGUGGUACAAUUGUCAAUAGAAUCUUUUAUUUAGAUCUUUCUAUCCAAUCGUUCAUAACAAUCCAAGGUGAAUUCCAAUUACCCCAGAGAACCCUAAGACUACUCUCGUGAAUUAGGAUUCUAGUUUCAAUAACAUAAUGGUCAGAUAGUUGGAUUUACCUAUUGGUUCUUCCACAAAACUCAAUAAAAUAGACAUACAAACAAGUUUGUAUUGAAUGUAAAAAGGCAUGGCCCUUAUCCUAGAAACUAAAGGAAUUACUCGCUCAUGAUGAUGAUGGAGAUGAGAUUAGAGAAUCAGUGUAAAAACAUGUUCAAUACUUAAGGGAGACCCCUCAUUUAUCCUAAUUACCAAAGAUCGGGGCAAAGUCCAACAAUAAAAAAUAUAAAAAUCAUAAAAAUAGGAAUAGAAUCUAUCAUCCACGACCAUGGGUGUGUGGGGCCUUCACUUCAAGUUCUUCGAUUCAGGCUCCAAGAUGACUUCUUUUGGCCCUUCAAUUGGUCUUUGCAUAGCCUUAAGGCCGAAUUCCACCUUCUUGUACCCAAUCUCUACUCUUUUUGGCUUCAAUCCGUCCAACCUGCACAACAUAGUUAAACACACCCGCUCAACCCGAACAAAGAGAAAUAAAAGCUAAAAGUAAUCCUAAAGUCUCAAUUAUGUCCUAUAAUACAAUUUAAAUACGAUUCAAAUACAACAUAAUUUCACAAUCAUCAAUCACCACCAGUAUGCAAUGUGAAACUCAUGAAGCCUAUAUCAUAAGCCUGUAGAAGUUUGUGUUUCAUAUGCCAAUUGAGUUUCAGGUUCUUUCACCAUUUCCACUGAUGAAGCCUAUAUCAUAAGGCAGCACCAAUAUGGGUUAUGGGUUGAUGUUUCCAUCGGAGAUAUCGAACCUAGUACAAUCUCAAGAUACCAAAGAUGACUCUAUGAUUUUUUUAAUUCAGGAGUUGUCAAAUGAUUACUCAAAAGUAUGUUUUCAAAGUAAAGUUCUUACUUAUAAAAUAGUCUAUGCACAAAGUUUGGAUAAUCUUUACAUUUUUAUCUAACCUUUUCAAAAAUCAAGUAGUCGGGUAUAACAUCCCAAUUCCUAACAAAACAUAAAGUAAACUAAGUUAAUUAUUUUGUUUAAGUUACAUGGAUUGAACAUGUAGAAGUAGAUAAUAAUGCAUAAUAUUUAUAAACUUGUAGUUAAUUUUGGCACAUUCCCAUUUGAGCUACAAGGUGGUU
This 1251-nucleotide long non-coding RNA is filed under the name Lupinus angustifolius (narrow-leaved blue lupine). Its description in RNAcentral is "long non-coding RNA (LANG_LNC002321)". The record is from RNAcentral. Lineage: Eukaryota; Viridiplantae; Streptophyta; Magnoliopsida; Fabales; Fabaceae.